RNAcentral lists this ribosomal RNA (369 nucleotides) under Chamaeleo dilepis (flapneck chameleon). RNAcentral's name for it is "partial 12S ribosomal RNA". The record is from RNAcentral. Lineage: Eukaryota; Metazoa; Chordata; Lepidosauria; Squamata; Chamaeleonidae.
CCGCCAGAGGACAACGAGCAAAGCUUAAAACCCAAAGGACUUGGCGGCGCUUCAUAUCACCCUAGAGGGGCCUGUCACAUAAUCGAUAACCCACGAUACACCUCACCACUUUUAGCCGCAUCAGCCUAUAUACCGCCGUCGCCAGUCCAUCUAGAGGAAAGAAACAAAAUGGACUAAAAAGUACAAAUACUAAAACGACAGGUCAAGGUGUAGCUCAUAAAAUGGUAAAUGAUGGACCACAUUGCUUAAUAAAGCCACACCAAAACUGCACUGAAACACACAUUUUAAGGUGAAUUUAACAGUAAGACAAACAAGAAAAUCUGUCUAAAGUAUGCUCUGAAGCGUGCACACACCGCCGGUCACCCUCAA